GACGUAGGUGGCAAGCGUUGUCCGGAGUUAUUGGGCGUAAAGGGCGCGUAGGUGGUGGCUUAAGCGUGCGGUGAAAGCUCGGGGCUCAACUCCGAGUCGGCCGUGCGAACUGGGCUCACUGGAGCAUAGUAGAGGCAGGUGGAAUUCCGGGUGUAGCGGUGGAAUGCGUAGAGAUCCGGAAGAACACCGGUGGCGAAGGCGGCCUGCUGGGCUAUGGCUGACACUGAGGCGCGACAGCGUGGGGAGCAAACAGG
Molecule: ribosomal RNA, 254 nt
Filed under: uncultured bacterium
Lineage: Bacteria
Description: partial 16S ribosomal RNA
Rfam family: Bacterial small subunit ribosomal RNA
Source: RNAcentral